CUGUCCCUUGUUCUCCCUGCAUAUGUGUGUGUGGGUGGGUGUGGCCCUGGCAGGUGAUUGGCCACACCUGAAGACCAUGUCACACCUGCAGCUGAUCAGGCCUCGUCGGAGGAGCUACUUGAGAGUGUGGUGGAGCUCUCUCCGACGCUGGAUCAUUGCGUGGCUUCACGAGUAGCGAGAGACGAGAGGGCAGCAAGCACGGGGUGCUCAUCACGGAGAAGCGGAGACAGGAGCACUAACACUGGGAAGAGGACACGUCACGGGAGUCGGGAGAGCACGGGAUUUAUUGUCAUGUUUUUCCAUCAAUGUAAAUAAACACACUGCUUGUACUAAGAGCACCGCGCCUGGGUCCUCCAUUCCCCAUAUCCCCACGGUCUGCCAUGUCAAACCGUGACAAUUACACUGUGGUAGCGAACCAGAAACAUUGCCAUAAUAUUUUAAUACUCCAGCCUACCUGUUUGUGCAAGGGCAGAAGGUCUUUAAGAGCUUACACCCUGUGUAUCCUGUUUUGACUGGUGGG
This 520-nucleotide long non-coding RNA is filed under the name Oreochromis niloticus (Nile tilapia). RNAcentral describes it as "lncRNA (ENSONIG00000037080.1)". The record is from RNAcentral. Lineage: Eukaryota; Metazoa; Chordata; Actinopteri; Cichliformes; Cichlidae.